Erigeron canadensis is the source of this 1306-nucleotide RNA transcript. It is a transcript of the gene named zinc finger CCHC domain-containing protein 10, with no coding region annotated. The transcript is spliced from 3 exons. Lineage: Eukaryota; Viridiplantae; Streptophyta; Magnoliopsida; Asterales; Asteraceae. The record is from RefSeq and is a predicted model, not a curated record.
AAAAAUAUAAAAAAAAUUAGGGUUUCGAAACGAAAGCUAAAAUCCCAAAUUUCGCCUUCACAUCUUUUUAUCUCUUUCUUCGUAUUACUUUCGUUCGCAAGGUUCUGGGGCUCAUUGUUAUCUAGUUCUUGAUUUGUUAUCGGCUUUAUUAGACAAAAACCAUGUCGGGUAAAGAAGAAAAAGGUGGUGCACAGGAUGCAGCCGAAAGAAUCAAGGCCGCCACCCUGUCAGCUGCUAAGGGUCUUAGCCGUUCUCAAGCUGAACGUGCGGCAGCUGCCGCCGCUCGAAAUGUAAAUGCUUAUGGUCAAAAAGAAGAAGGUCCAAGCAGAUGGCAAGAAAGGAAAGAAGCAAAACGACAAAUGUAUCUGAUGAGUACAGAAAAACAAGUGAGGCUAGGUGAAAGGAAAGACCAAAAAGCUUCAAUGUCAACAGCCACCCAUUGUCAAAAGUGUUUUCAAUCUGGGCAUUGGACAUAUGAGUGUAAAAACGAACGGGUUUACAUUUCCCGGCCCUCACGAACACAGCAACUGAAAAAUCCAAAAUUGAGAACGCGGGGUUUGGUUUCAUAUGAUUUAGAUAAUCCAGAUACUGAGAAAGAGAUGAAAGUUGAUAAUAGUGUUAAGAAGAAACACAGUAGUAAAGGUAAGAAUAACAAACGAAAGCAUAGGUCUAGGUCGGAAUCAGAUUCUGGUAGUGAUAGUGAGGCUUCAGUGUUUGAAUCUGGUAGUGAAUCGGGAUCAGAAUCUGGGUCGGGUUCUUCUUCAGCAGAGAGUGAUUCCAGUUACACUUCAGAUUCUGAUUCAGAGGAAGACAGGAAAAAGAGAAGUAAGAACAAGAAGAAGAGGGUGAAAGAGCAGAGGAAAAAGAAACACCGUAGACAUAGUUCGACUUCUGAGUCGGAAUCAGAAUCGGAGUUAUCAGAGUCGGAAUCUGAUUCCGAUGACAGCAGAAGCCGGAGGAAGGGGAAAAGGCAUAGUAGAAGGCGUUGAAGAAAUUCUUACUGCUAUGGAAUCAGAUGCAAAUUCAGGUGGAUGAAGCAUCCAAUAUCUUGUAUUGCUAUCAGUAUGGGAAUUAAGGAUAUCUUAUGUAUAUUGUUUGAUGGGAUCCAUAUCUGUUUUAUGUUUUACUAGCAAACCGAUGCUCGAGUUACAUGGUAUGAAAGUCUAUAAGAAUUAGUUAGAAAUAAAAAAGACCUACGAGUCAACCAAGGCCUGAAUGGGCUCAAGUCCAACUUUUUAAUGUCAAAGGUUAUCAUAAAGAUCUUUUCAAGUACAUGUUUGAGGAGCAAAACUGGUUAUUCUGUUCA